This 209-nucleotide long non-coding RNA is filed under the name Elaeis guineensis (African oil palm). RNAcentral describes it as "long non-coding RNA (EGUI_LNC024936)". Lineage: Eukaryota; Viridiplantae; Streptophyta; Magnoliopsida; Arecales; Arecaceae. The record is from RNAcentral.
CUGCUGCAUUGCUUGCACGGCUUCGACGAGGCCUUUGACCUGCUGCGCCAGCAAGUCAAACUGCUCCGCGUCGACCGCCGCCGCCGGAGGCGGAGGAGGAGAAGGCUGAGAAACUGGAGGGGAGGCCGGAGCCUGAGAUCUGGCCGCGGAGGCCGUGGACCGUCGGGUGGACGCCUUGCGCGGAGGCAUCGAGUGUCGAUCUCGCGGGG